Peromyscus maniculatus bairdii (prairie deer mouse) is the source of this 1513-nucleotide non-coding RNA. The record is from RefSeq and is a predicted model, not a curated record. Lineage: Eukaryota; Metazoa; Chordata; Mammalia; Rodentia; Cricetidae.
UCUGUGUGUUUAUUUUAUAAGUGGGCUGUCAGACUGCCGGGGCUUGGCGGAAUCUGGAGAGAAAAUUCUCCAGCUACACCCAGGAGACCUCUCUUCAGUCUCAGGGAAGUGCCUCAUCAGAGCCUGUUCUGUGUCUCCAAAGAGCAAACAGGAUACAGUCUCACUACAAACAGGAUACAGCCUCACUAAAAUAGGAUACAGCCUCACUACAAACAGGAUACAGCCUCACUACAAACAGGAUACAGCCUCACUACAAACAGGAUACAGCCUCACUACAAACAGGAUUCAUCCUCACUACAAACAGGAUACAGCCUCACUAAAAUAGGAUACAGCCUCACUAAAAUAGGAUACAGUCUCACUAAAAUAGGAUACAGCCUCACUAAAAUAGGAUACAGUUUCACUACAAUAGGAUACAGUUUCACUAAAAUAGGAUACAGCCUCACUAAAACAAGAUACAGUCUCACUAAAACAGGAUACAGCCUCACUAAAACAGGACACAGCCUCACUAAAACAGGACACAGCCUCACUAAAAUAGGAUACAACCUCACUAAAACAGGAUACAGUCUCACUAAAACAGGACACAGCCUCAUUAAAAUAGGACACAGCCUCACUAAAAUAGGACACAGCCUCACUAAAAUAGGAUACAGCCUCACUAAAAUAGGAUACAGCCUCACUAAAAUAGGACACAGCCUCACUAAAACAGGACACAGCCUCAUUAAAAUAGGACACAGCCUCACUAAAAUAGGACACAGCCUCACUAAAACAGGACACAGCCUCAUUAAAAUAGGACACAGUCUCACUAAAACAGGACACAGCCUCACUAAAACAGGAUACAGCCUCACUAAAAUAGGACACAGUCUCACUAAAAUAGGACACAGCCUCACAACUAACAGAAUGCAGCUCCACUACUAACAGGAUACAGCUGCCCUACAAACAGGCUACAGCCUCACUACAAAGAGGAUCCAGAUGCUUUGCUUUUUAUCUUGUUUUAUAUUUUGAAGGGCCAUGUGAAAGGUGGAUUACAAAGAGGACACAAACGGACUCUACUGGUAACCAUCAACAAACCUGAGUCCCUGUUUUGAUGAAGAAAGGGGGAGCCCACAGAACUUAGAAGGAUGUUCCCAGUCUCCCCUUUCCCAUCAGCAACUUUCAGCCUUACCUCCCAUGAGGAAGAGAAGCCCUGCCACAUACUGCAUAAGGCCUCGGUCCCAGCAGCAGCCCAGCACACCGAUGAUCCAGCCGAAGAGGAUGAUGGCCACCGCCAUACCCAUGAAGCCAGCUGUCAUUCUGCGCAGGUGCUGUCUUUAGUCCUGGAUGGAGAACGAAGCUGCUUGCUAACAGGAACACCGGAGCACCUCACCCCAUUAUACUGGUCAUUCCUUCGUGAGUCUGCCUGCCGUCUCUCAUGCCUCCCUGCAUUUAAGCCAGUGACACCAGCCCCAACCAGCUAACAGGGCACUAAGCAAGAGCAACGCCAUUCUGUUUGGCCUCUGCCCCAAGUUCUGACCCCUCU